AGUGAACGCUGGCGGUAGGCCUAACACAUGCAAGUCGUACGGCAGCACAGUAAGAGCUUGCUCUUACGGGUGGCGAGUGGCGGACGGGUGAGGAAUACAUCGGAAUCUACUUUUUCGUGGGGGAUAACGUAGGGAAACUUACGCUAAUACCGCAUACGACCUACGGGUGAAGGCAGGGGAUCUUCGGACCUUGCGCGAUUGAAUGAGCCGAUGUCGGAUUAGCUAGUUGGCGGGGUAAAGGCCCACCAAGGCGACGAUCCGUAGCUGGUCUGAGAGGAUGAUCAGCCACACUGGAACUGAGACACGGUCCAGACUCCUACGGGAGGCAGCAGUGGGGAAUAUUGGACAAUGGGCGCAAGCCUGAUCCAGCCAUACCGCGUGGGUGAAGAAGGCCUUCGGGUUGUAAAGCCCUUUUGUUGGGAAAGAAAAGCAGCAGGUUAAUACCCCGCUGUUCUGACGGUACCCAAAGAAUAAGCACCGGCUAACUUCGUG
Molecule: ribosomal RNA, 492 nt
Filed under: uncultured bacterium
Lineage: Bacteria
Description: partial 16S ribosomal RNA
Rfam family: Bacterial small subunit ribosomal RNA
Source: RNAcentral